RNAcentral lists this ribosomal RNA (111 nucleotides) under uncultured eukaryote. Its description in RNAcentral is "partial small subunit ribosomal RNA". It matches the Rfam family "Eukaryotic small subunit ribosomal RNA", at positions 1676 to 1785 of the family's 1831-position model. The record is from RNAcentral.
UCGCACCUACCGAUUGAAUGGUCCGGUGAAGCCUCGGGAUUGUGGUCUGGUUCCUUCAUUGGGACCCUGACCGUGGGAACUUGUCUAAACCUUAUCAUCUAGAGGAAGGUG